GUGCAGCAGUCGCGAAAACUCUGCAAUACGCGAAAGCGUGACAGGGCUACCCCGAGUGUCGUCCGCUGAGGACGACUUUUCCACGCUGUAAGGAGGCGUGGGAAUAAGGAGAGGGCAAGUCUGGUGUCAGCCGCCGCGGUAAUACCAGCUCUCCGAGUGGUAGGGACGUUUAUUGGGCUUAAAGCGUCCGUAGCCGGCUCAACAAGUCUCCCGUUAAAUCCAACGAUUCAAUCGUUGGACUGCGGGAGAUACUGCAGAGCUUGGAGGCGGGAGAGGUCGCCGGUAUUUCCGGGGUAGGGGUAAAAUCCUAUAAUCCCGGGAAGACCACCAGUGGCGUAGGCGGUCGGCUAGCACACGCUCGACAGUGAGGGACGAAAGCUGGGGUAGCGAACCGGAUUAGAUACCCCGGUAGUCC
This 415-nucleotide ribosomal RNA is filed under the name uncultured crenarchaeote. RNAcentral's name for it is "partial 16S ribosomal RNA". It matches the Rfam family "Archaeal small subunit ribosomal RNA", at positions 330 to 747 of the family's 1478-position model. The record is from RNAcentral. Lineage: Archaea; Thermoproteati; Thermoproteota.